GAUGAAGAACGUAGCGAAAUGCGAUAAGUAAUGUGAAUUGCAGAAUUCAGUGAAUCAUCGAAUCUUUGAACGCACAUUGCGCCCCCUGGUAUUCCGGGGGGCAUGCCUGUCCGAGCGUCAUUACAACCCUCAAGCUCAGCUUGGUGUUGGGCCCCGCCGCCCCGGCGGGCCCUAAAGUCAGUGGCGGUGCCGUCCGGCUCCGAGCGUAGUAAUUCUUCUCGCUCUGGAGGUCCGGUCGUGUGCUCGCCAGCAACCCCCAAUUUUUUUCAGGUUGACCUCGGAUCAGGUAGGGAUACCCGCUGUACUUAAGCAUAUCAAUAAGCGGAGGA
Molecule: unclassified non-coding RNA, 329 nt
Filed under: soil metagenome
Description: partial contains 5.8S ribosomal RNA, internal transcribed spacer 2, and large subunit ribosomal RNA
Rfam family: 5.8S ribosomal RNA (bases 1-120)
Source: RNAcentral